GGUCUACCCAUUUCUCCAGAAUGGCGCAUGGUAACUUGUGCUAAUACCGUAUGAGCCCUUCGGGGGAAAGAUUUAUCGGGAAAGGAUGAGCCCGCGUUGGAUUAGCUAGUUGGUGGGGUAAAGGCCUACCAAGGCGACGAUCCAUAGCUGGUCUGAGAGGAUGAUCAGCCACAUUGGGACUGAGACACGGCCCAAACUCCUACGGGAGGCAGCAGUGGGGAAUAUUGGACAAUGGGCGCAAGCCUGAUCCAGCCAUGCCGCGUGAGUGAUGAAGGCCCUAGGGUUGUAAAGCUCUUUCACCGGUGAAGAUAAUGACGGUAACCGGAGAAGAAGCCCCGGCUAACUUCGUGCCAGCAGCCGCGGUAAUACGAAGGGGGCUAGCGUUGUUCGGAAUUACUGGGCGUAAAGCGCACGUAGGCGGAUUGUUAAGUGAGGGGUGAAAUCCCAGGGCUCAACCCUGGAACUGCCUUUCAUACUGGCAAUCUAGAGUCCAAAAGAGGUGAGUGGAAUUCCGAGUGUAGAGGUGAAAUUCGUAGAUAUUCGGAGGAACACCAGUGGCGAAGGCGGCUCACUGGUCUGGAACUGACGCUGAGGUGCGAAAGCGUGAGGAGCAAACAGGAUUAGAUACCCUGGUAGUCCACGCCGUAAACGAUGAAUGUUAGCCGUCGGGCAGUUUACUGUUCGGUGGCGCAGCUAACGCAUUAAACAUUCCGCCUGGGGAGUACGGUCGCAAGAUUAAAAC
This 742-nucleotide ribosomal RNA is filed under the name Ensifer meliloti. RNAcentral's name for it is "Sinorhizobium meliloti bacterial SSU rRNA". It matches the Rfam family "Bacterial small subunit ribosomal RNA", at positions 123 to 900 of the family's 1533-position model. The record is from RNAcentral. Lineage: Bacteria; Pseudomonadati; Pseudomonadota; Alphaproteobacteria; Hyphomicrobiales; Rhizobiaceae.